AUUGAACGCUGGCGGCAUGCUUUACACAUGCAAGUCGAACGGUAACAGGCCUUCGGGUGCUGACGAGUGGCGAACGGGUGAGUAAUGCAUCGGAACGUACCCAGAGGUGGGGGAUAACGCAGCGAAAGCUGUGCUAAUACCGCAUGUGAUCUGAGGAUGAAAGCGGGGGACCGAGCAGCAAUGUUUGGCCUCGCGCCUUUGGAGCGGCCGAUGUCGGAUUAGCUAGUUGGUGGGGUAAAGGCCUACCAAGGCGACGAUCCGUAGCUGGUCUGAGAGGACGACCAACCACACUGGGACUGAGACACGGCCCAGACUCCUACGGGAGGCAGCAGUGGGGAAUUUUGGACAAUGGGCGCAAGCCUGAUCCAGCAAUGCCGCGUGCGGGAAGAAGGCCUUCGGGUUGUAAACCGCUUUUGGCAGGAACGAAACGGUGUCCGCUAAUACCGGGCGCUAAUGACGGUACCUGCAGAAUAAGCACCGGCUAACUACGUG
This 492-nucleotide ribosomal RNA is filed under the name uncultured bacterium. RNAcentral's name for it is "partial 16S ribosomal RNA". It matches the Rfam family "Bacterial small subunit ribosomal RNA", at positions 29 to 507 of the family's 1533-position model. The record is from RNAcentral.